Molecule: ribosomal RNA, 451 nt
Filed under: uncultured bacterium
Lineage: Bacteria
Description: partial 16S ribosomal RNA
Rfam family: Bacterial small subunit ribosomal RNA
Source: RNAcentral
GUGGGGAAUAUUGGACAAUGGGGGGAACCCUGAUCCAGCCAUGCCGCGUGUGUGAAGAAGGCCUUUUGGUUGUAAAGCACUUUAAGUGGGGAGGAGGCUUACCUAGUUAAUACCUGGGCUAAGUGGACGUUACCCACAGAAUAAGCACCGGCUAACUCUGUGCCAGCAGCCGCGGUAAUACAGAGGGUGCGAGCGUUAAUCGGAUUUACUGGGCGUAAAGCGCGCGUAGGUGGUUAAUUAAGUCAAAUGUGAAAUCCCCGAGCUUAACUUGGGAAUUGCAUUCGAUACUGGUUGGCUAGAGUAUGGGAGAGGAUGGUAGAAUUCCAGGUGUAGCGGUGAAAUGCGUAGAGAUCUGGAGGAAUACCGAUGGCGAAGGCAGCCAUCUGGCCUAAUACUGACACUGAGGUGCGAAAGCAUGGGGAGCAAACAGGAUUAGAAACCCUGGUAGUCC